This 1915-nucleotide long non-coding RNA is filed under the name Vitis vinifera (wine grape). RNAcentral's name for it is "long non-coding RNA (VVIN_LNC008223)". Lineage: Eukaryota; Viridiplantae; Streptophyta; Magnoliopsida; Vitales; Vitaceae. The record is from RNAcentral.
GAACACAUUUGUAUAUCAAACCCCUAGAUCCUGCGGCCAGGAUCUAACCUCUCCCUGAAAAGAAAUGUGAGCCGUUGGAUGACUGAAUACAAAGCCACAAACAAACCCUACAAAACCCUAAUUUUUCACCAUCCAUCUUUUCAGACUGCUUCUGAUUCUCAAGACUCCUAUCUUCUCCACUGAUCACAGGGGCCACUCUCGGUGAGUAGAAGCUAUUUUCCGUUUGGUUCCUUAGAAAAUAGGGUAGGAAAUGCAUAAUUUUGGAUUAUAUUACGGUUUAUGUGGGUUUGUUUUGGUUCCUACUCGAAUGAAGUUGGUGGAAGUGAUUGUUUCUUGUUGAUUUCCGAGAAAAUAGAACAGCAGUUGAAAGACUUUUGAUCUUGUUACGUUUUAUGCUGUUCUGGUUUGGUUCCUAAACGAAUGAAAAUGUUCAUUUAAACCGAGAGAUUUCAGGUAUCUCAGUUUCCUUUUUUUUUUUUUUUCUCUGGACUUUCCUGGCAUCCAAACAUGGUUUUGUAGUUGGAGUUUACCUAUAAGUGAUUGUUGAUUUGUUUGCCCCUGAAAAAAGGGACAAAAUGGAAGAACCUUGGAUCUUGUAUUGUUUUAUGUUCUGGUUUGCCCCUGAAAUAUCGACUUUGAUUUUUCUUCUGGUGAAUCUAGGGUAAUGCGUUUCUUUGUUUUGUUUUCCAGUCAGUGAUUUCUUCAUGUAUAUUUGGUGCCUGACAAAAGUUUGAAUAUUCAAUUUUCUGUUUUUCCAGAAAAUGUGAGCUCUCCUAAGUUAAACCAGAUGUUUAUAUCAAGCUAUGCCGAAAUGGCUUUUUAAGGAUUCCCGUUUUCUUUUUCUAUGUAAAUGCUGGUUAUAGGGACAUCUAGGGUUUCAGACUAAAUUACUACUUCUGAUAAUCUUUAAUUAGUAUAGUUCCUUUGGUUGUUGAGAAAGUGGGGGAAAGAAAAUGGAGCCCUAAAUAUUAUUUUUCAAUAUGUUCUGGUAUUGAAAAAAAAUGAGCUGAAAAAGAGAGAUAAUCGAAUUAGAAUAGUUUGGUUUUUAGCUUUCUCUGAUCUCAAAUAAAUCUAGUUUAUUAUUAAUUUUCAAAUUUUUUUUACAUAUUUGCUGCGUUCAAUUUGUGUCCUACUCAAUGUUUUAAAUGACUGUUGAGGCUUACGCCUUGAGGCUGGCCUCGAAUCAAGGCUCUACAAAUUAGCCUUGGGGCUAUAGCCUUAAAUAGGGUAAUUGAGGCUUAGGCCUCACCCUAUCGAGGCUUAUAGCUUUGAGGCCUAAGCCUCCAAUAUCCAAAGGGUCUUCAGCUUUUAUGAGCUUUUGGUAUAUAUUUUAUAAGAGGCGUAAGUAUCAAUUUUCAAUGAGUUUUAAUGGGUCUACCAUCUAUGCUUUUGUGGACUUUUGAUAGAGAUUUUAUGAGUUUUGUAUUGGGUCCCUACUUGGUUAAGCCUUUUACAAAAUAAGGGCUUAGAUGAUUUCCAAUUAAUCUUUUAAAGGGUUAAUUUCAUUAAUUUCCCUUGAGGUUUUGGCUAAAUACACCUAGCCCUCAUUGGUUUGAAAUUUCAUCAAAUACCUCCCUUCCUUUCGUCAUUUGUUGUUUUCACUCACCUCCCCUCUAAUUCAAAAUAAGGGAGGUAUUUGACAAAUUUUCAAAUUAGUGGGGACUAACUGUAGUUAGCUAAAACCUCAAGGGAGGUGAGUGAAAUUAACCCAUCUUUUAAAUUGAAAGGAAAAAGAGUGAUUGAGAAGAAUAAGGGAAUUGAAGACUAUUUUUUAAUGGCUGAUCUCAUAAAUAAUCUAAUUAUUGAUAGAUCAAAAAAGAUACCACUACAAUUGGUGGAUAAAGAAGAAAAAAGAUGAGUGGAUAUUAACACUAAUGGGGAGGAUGAUAUAGCAAUUUGAAUAUAAUAAUGUUCC